This 98-nucleotide microRNA precursor is filed under the name Bos taurus (domestic cattle). Its description in RNAcentral is "microRNA bta-mir-3602 precursor". The record is from miRBase by way of RNAcentral. Lineage: Eukaryota; Metazoa; Chordata; Mammalia; Artiodactyla; Bovidae.
CACAUCCAACACGUGACGUGUUGGGAUCACCGCGGUAAGUUAAUAUCAGAUACACUUACCGUGGGAGAGGAUCCCAACACGUCACGUAUCGGUAAGCA